CGUCGUCAGCUUACCCUGUGAAGGUACUAUAGUAAGCAAAACUAGUAAAACUCAAAACGCCAGGUCGAGGUGUAGCAUAUGAGGGGGGAAGAAAUGGGCUACAUUCCCUACUUUAGGGAACACGGACAAUGUAAUGAAAAGUACAUUAAAAGGAGGAUUUAGCAGUAAGCAAAAAAUAGAGCGUUUUGCUGAAACUGGCCCUGAAGCGCGCACACACCGCCCGUCACUCUCCCCAAGCCAACUUUUAAAAUAUACAUAAUACAUUUUUAGGAACUAAGGGGAGGCAAGUCGUAACAUGG
This 299-nucleotide ribosomal RNA is filed under the name Caquetaia kraussii. RNAcentral's name for it is "partial small subunit ribosomal RNA". It matches the Rfam family "Microsporidia small subunit ribosomal RNA", at positions 910 to 1279 of the family's 1311-position model. Lineage: Eukaryota; Metazoa; Chordata; Actinopteri; Cichliformes; Cichlidae. The record is from RNAcentral.